This is a non-coding RNA of Dallia pectoralis (Alaska blackfish), 77 nucleotides long. Lineage: Eukaryota; Metazoa; Chordata; Actinopteri; Esociformes; Umbridae. The record is from the annotation of a GenBank genome assembly.
GGCCGGUUAGCUCAGUUGGUCAGAGCGUCGUGCUGAUAAUGCGAAGGUCGCGCCAGGUUCGAUGCCCGUACUGGCCA